This 791-nucleotide ribosomal RNA is filed under the name uncultured archaeon. RNAcentral's name for it is "bacterial SSU rRNA". It matches the Rfam family "Archaeal small subunit ribosomal RNA", at positions 85 to 879 of the family's 1478-position model. The record is from RNAcentral.
ACGGCUCAGUAACACGUGGAUAACCUGCCCAAGGGUCCGGGAUAACCCCGGGAAACUGGGGAUAAUACCGGAUGGAUCACUAGUGCUGGAAUGCUUGGUGGUCGAAAGGUAACGCCUUUGGAUGGGUCUGCGGCGGAUUAGGUUGACGCCGGUGUAACGUACCGGCGUGCCUGUAAUCCGUACGGGUUGUGGGAGCAAGAGCCCGGAGGUGGAUUCUGAGACACGAAUCCAGGCCCUACGGGGCGCAGCAGGCGCGAAAACUCUACAAUGCAGGCAACUGCGAUAGGGGGACAUCGAGUGGCAUCCACCUUGGGUGCCUGUCCAACCGUCUAAAAAACGGUUGUUAGCAAGGGCCGGGUAAGACCGGUGCCAGCCGCCGCGGUAAUACCGGCGGCUCGAGUGGUGGCCGAUAUUAUUGAGUCUAAAGGGUCCGUAGCCGGCUUUGCAAGUCCCCUGGGAAAUCCAGCGGCUUAACCGUUGGGCUUUCAUGGGAUACUACAUUGCUUGGGACUGGGAGAGGUAGGAGGUACUCGGGGGGUAGGGGUGAAAUCCUGUAAUCCUCCGGGGACCACCGGUGGCGAAGGCGUCCUACCAGAACAGGUCCGACGGUGAGGGACGAAAGCUAGGGGCACGAACCGGAUUAGAUACCCGGAUAGUCCUAGCCGUAAACGAUGCCCGCUAGGUGUCACGACGGUCGUGAAUCGUCGUGGUGCCGUAGGGAAGCCGCGAAGCGUGCCACUUGGGAAGUACGGCCGCAAGGCUGAAACUUAAAGGAAUUGGCGGGGGAGCAC